Molecule: long non-coding RNA, 409 nt
Organism: Sander lucioperca (pikeperch)
Lineage: Eukaryota; Metazoa; Chordata; Actinopteri; Perciformes; Percidae
Exons: 4
Source: RefSeq, a predicted model, not a curated record
GAUUGAAGAAUCUAGGUUUGAACGUAUAGGUUUGCUAUCGCCUGUAUUGCGAGUAAAUAGCAGAAAAAAAUGUUUGGAGAAACGCAACCCCACAUCGCGCUGCGUUUUGAGGAGGUGUGAGAAUCCCUUACAGUAAACAGUUACAUAACUGCCUCUAUCGCUUCCACAAGAAAGUCCGGGAGUUUGUGAAACAGCUAAAUGUUUGCCAAACAACAAAGCACAGUCGAUGUCUCUCGCUCAUCUCUUUUCUUUCUCUCUUUCUCUGUGAAAUGAAGCGGCCUUUCAGGUGCAGUAGGAAACGUUGGGUUCUAUAAAAGAUCUGACAAAAAACUGUUACUGUGAAAUAUAAAGUCUACUUAUGCCACAUUGGGGGGUUAAAGAACACAACAGGACAUCGCACCACCCUGCG